RNAcentral lists this ribosomal RNA (253 nucleotides) under uncultured bacterium. RNAcentral's name for it is "partial 16S ribosomal RNA". It matches the Rfam family "Bacterial small subunit ribosomal RNA", at positions 524 to 776 of the family's 1533-position model. The record is from RNAcentral.
UACGUAGGGUGCAAGCGUUAAUCGGAAUUACUGGGCGUAAAGCGCGCGCAGGCGGCCAUUCAAGUCAGGGGUGAAAGCCCAGAGCUCAACUCUGGAACUGCCCUUGAAACUGUAUGGCUUGAGUAUGAGAGAGGUGAGUGGAAUUCCCAGUGUAGAGGUGAAAUUCGUAGAUAUUGGGAAGAACACCGGUGGCGAAGGCGGCUCACUGGCUCAUUACUGACGCUCAGGCGCGACAGCGUGGGGAUCAAACAGG